AGUAAUUACAAAUAAAUUAGUCUCAAAAUCUCUUAAAAAUUACUUAAAUAGUAGGACUCCAAGUCUCCAUAAAUUACAUACCCUACUAGUAGGUUAGGUAAAAAUUAAAAUUAUUAAAAAUAUAUAUUAAAUAAUAUAUUAUUAUUACAUGAUUGGAUUUCGGGUUGGGUUGGAUGGAUUAUUACGGAAUCCGAUAUCCGAUCCAAAGAUGAUUGGAUC
Molecule: long non-coding RNA, 219 nt
Filed under: Lotus japonicus
Lineage: Eukaryota; Viridiplantae; Streptophyta; Magnoliopsida; Fabales; Fabaceae
Description: long non-coding RNA (LJAP_LNC001837)
Source: RNAcentral